GAAUGUGGCUCAGUUGGUAGAGUGCAUGCCUAGCAUGCACAAGGCCCUGGGUUCAGUCCCCAGCAAAACA
This 70-nucleotide transfer RNA is filed under the name Marmota monax (woodchuck). Its description in RNAcentral is "tRNA.Ala". The stretch from base 4 to 65 matches the Rfam family "tRNA", at positions 6 to 65 of the family's 71-position model. Rfam says of the family: Transfer RNA (tRNA) molecules are approximately 80 nucleotides in length. Their secondary structure includes four short double-helical elements and three loops (D, anti-codon, and T loops). The record is from RNAcentral. Lineage: Eukaryota; Metazoa; Chordata; Mammalia; Rodentia; Sciuridae.